RNAcentral lists this ribosomal RNA (367 nucleotides) under uncultured Streptococcus sp. RNAcentral describes it as "bacterial SSU rRNA". It matches the Rfam family "Bacterial small subunit ribosomal RNA", at positions 1007 to 1382 of the family's 1533-position model. The record is from RNAcentral. Lineage: Bacteria; Bacillati; Bacillota; Bacilli; Lactobacillales; Streptococcaceae.
UAGAAAGUUACUCGGUACAUCGGUGACAGUGGUGCAUGGUUGUCGUCAGCUCGUGUCGUGAGAUGUUGGGUUAAGUCCCGCAACGAGCGCAACCCCUAUUGUUAGUUGCCAUCAUUCAGUUGGGCACUCUAGCGAGACUGCCGGUAAUAACCGGAGAAGUGGGAUGACGUCAAAUCAUCAUGCCCCUUAUGACCUGGGCUACACACGUGCUACAAUGGUUGGUACAACGAGUUGCGAGUCGGUGACGGCGAGCUAAUCUCUUAAAGCCAAUCUCAGUUCGGAUUGUAGGCUGCAACUCGCCUACAUGAAGUCGGAAUCGCUAGUAAUCGCGGAUCAGCACGCCGCGGUGAAUACGUUCCCGGGCCUU